Molecule: ribosomal RNA, 253 nt
Filed under: uncultured bacterium
Lineage: Bacteria
Description: partial 16S ribosomal RNA
Rfam family: Bacterial small subunit ribosomal RNA
Source: RNAcentral
UACAGAGGUCUCGAGCGUUAGGCGGAAUCACUGGGCUUAAAGCGUGUGUAGGUGGAUGCCUAAGUACCUUGUGAAAUCCCACGGCUUAACCGUGGAACUGCUUGGUAUACUGGGUGUCUUGAGUCACUCAGGGGCGAGCGGAACAAAUGGUGGAGCGGUGAAAUGCGUAGAUAUUGGGAAGAACACCGGUGGCGAAGGCGGCUAUCUGGACCGUAACUGACGCUGAGGCGCGAAAGCGUGGGGAGCAAACAGG